AACGAACGCUGGCGGCAUGCCUAACACAUGCAAGUCGAACGAGACCUUCGGGUCUAGUGGCGCACGGGUGCGUAACGCGUGGGAACCUGCCCUUAGGUUCGGAAUAACUCCCCGAAAGGGGUGCUAAUACCGGAUAAUGUCUUCGGACCAAAGAUUUAUCGCCUUUGGAUGGGCCCGCGUUGGAUUAGCUAGUUGGUAGGGUAAAAGCCUAUCAAGGCGACGAUCCAUAGCUGGUCUGAGAGGAUGAUCAUCCACACUGGGACUGAGACACGGCCCACACUCGUACGGGAGGAGGCAGUAGGGAAUAUUGGAGAAUGGGCGAAAGCCUGAUCCAGCAAUGCCGCGUGAGUGAUGAAGGCCUUAGUGUUGUAAAGCUCUUUUACCCGGGAUGAUAAUGACAGUACCGGGAGAAUAAGCUCCGGCUAACUCCGUG
RNAcentral lists this ribosomal RNA (433 nucleotides) under uncultured bacterium. RNAcentral's name for it is "partial 16S ribosomal RNA". It matches the Rfam family "Bacterial small subunit ribosomal RNA", at positions 29 to 507 of the family's 1533-position model. The record is from RNAcentral.